GAUGAACGCUGGCGGCGUGCUUAACACAUGCAAGUCGAACGGAAAGGCCCAAGCUUGCUUGGGUACUCGAGUGGCGAACGGGUGAGUAACACGUGGGUGAUCUGCCCUGCACUUCGGGAUAAGCCUGGGAAACUGGGUCUAAUACCGGACAGGACGAUGGUUUGGAUGCCAUUGUGGAAAGUUUUUUCGGUGUGGGAUGAGCUCGCGGCCUAUCAGCUUGUUGGUGGGGUAAUGGCCUACCAAGGCGUCGACGGGUAGCCGGCCUGAGAGGGUGUACGGCCACAUUGGGACUGAGAUACGGCCCAGACUCCUACGGGAGGCAGCAGUGGGGAAUAUUGCACAAUGGGCGCAAGCCUGAUGCAGCGACGCCGCGUGGGGGAUGACGGCCUUCGGGUUGUAAACUCCUUUCGCUAGGGACGAAGCGUUUUUGUGACGGUACCUGGAGAAGAAGCACCGGCUAACUACGUG
RNAcentral lists this ribosomal RNA (468 nucleotides) under uncultured bacterium. RNAcentral's name for it is "partial 16S ribosomal RNA". It matches the Rfam family "Bacterial small subunit ribosomal RNA", at positions 28 to 507 of the family's 1533-position model. The record is from RNAcentral.